This 79-nucleotide non-coding RNA is filed under the name Megasphaera cerevisiae. RNAcentral's name for it is "ZTP sequence". It matches the Rfam family "ZMP/ZTP riboswitch aptamer (pfl RNA motif)". From Rfam's summary of the family: Previously known as pfl RNA. RNAcentral also lists the same sequence under 1 other name. The record is from RNAcentral. Lineage: Bacteria; Bacillati; Bacillota; Negativicutes; Veillonellales; Veillonellaceae.
AGAGAAGCAUGUAACUGACGGAAGUGGAAUUACCACGGGGAGCAUGGUUCAUGAUACGCCGACCGUCUGGGCAAGGGUU